GGGUUGUGAGGUUAAGCGACUAAGCGUACACGGUGGAUGCCCUGGCAGUCAGAGGCGAUGAAGGACGUGCUAAUCUGCGAUAAGCGUCGGUAAGGUGAUAUGAACCGUUAUAACCGGCGAUUUCCGAAUGGGGAAACCCAGUGUGAUUCGUCACACUAUCAUUAACUGAAUCCAUAGGUUAAUGAGGCGAACCGGGGGAACUGAAACAUCUAAGUACCCCGAGGAAAAGAAAUCAACCGAGAUUCCCCCAGUAGCGGCGAGCGAACGGGGAGCAGCCCAGAGCCUGAAUCAGUGUGUGUGUUAGUGGAAGCGUCUGGAAAGGCGCGCGAUACAGGGUGACAGCCCCGUACACAAAAAUGCACAUGCUGUGAGCUCGAUGAGUAGGGCGGGACACGUGGUAUCCUGUCUGAAUAUGGGGGGACCAUCCUCCAAGGCUAAAUACUCCUGACUGACCGAUAGUGAACCAGUACCGUGAGGGAAAGGCGAAAAGAACCCCGGCGAGGGGAGUGAAAAAGAACCUGAAACCGUGUACGUACAAGCAGUGGGAGCACGCUUAGGCGUGUGACUGCGUACCUUUUGUAUAAUGGGUCAGCGACUUAUAUUCUGUAGCAAGGUUAACCGAAUAGGGGAGCCGAAGGGAAACCGAGUCUUAACUGGGCGUUAAGUUGCAGGGUAUAGACCCGAAACCCGGUGAUCUAGCCAUGGGCAGGUUGAAGGUUGGGUAACACUAACUGGAGGACCGAACCGACUAAUGUUGAAAAAUUAGCGGAUGACUUGUGGCUGGGGGUGAAAGGCCAAUCAAACCGGGAGAUAGCUGGUUCUCCCCGAAAGCUAUUUAGGUAGCGCCUCGUGAAUUCAUCUCCGGGGGUAGAGCACUGUUUCGGCAAGGGGGUCAUCCCGACUUACCAACCCGAUGCAAACUGCGAAUACCGGAGAAUGUUAUCACGGGAGACACACGGCGGGUGCUAACGUCCGUCGUGAAGAGGGAAACAACCCAGACCGCCAGCUAAGGUCCCAAAGUCAUGGUUAAGUGGGAAACGAUGUGGGAAGGCCCAGACAGCCAGGAUGUUGGCUUAGAAGCAGCCAUCAUUUAAAGAAAGCGUAAUAGCUCACUGGUCGAGUCGGCCUGCGCGGAAGA
This 1138-nucleotide ribosomal RNA is filed under the name Escherichia coli. Its description in RNAcentral is "partial 23S ribosomal RNA". It matches the Rfam family "Bacterial large subunit ribosomal RNA", at positions 1 to 1170 of the family's 2925-position model. Lineage: Bacteria; Pseudomonadati; Pseudomonadota; Gammaproteobacteria; Enterobacterales; Enterobacteriaceae. The record is from RNAcentral.